UAUUCUGCCCCAUGGGGAAGGAUGAGAAGCUUCGACCAAGGUUCGACUCGAGCGAAACGAGAGAACGUUGCCGCAGGCAACGGCCCGAAGGGCGAGGCGCUUUAGCGCCGAGUAAUCCUUCCCCCACCACCA
RNAcentral lists this small RNA (132 nucleotides) under Klebsiella pneumoniae. RNAcentral's name for it is "RtT sRNA". It matches the Rfam family "RtT RNA". Rfam says of the family: This family represents a bacterial cis-regulatory element known as RtT RNA. The exact function of RtT is unknown although it is thought that it may be involved in changing the cellular response in relation to amino acid starvation. The record is from RNAcentral. Lineage: Bacteria; Pseudomonadati; Pseudomonadota; Gammaproteobacteria; Enterobacterales; Enterobacteriaceae. RNAcentral also lists the same sequence under 1 other name.